Molecule: long non-coding RNA, 377 nt
Filed under: Mytilus galloprovincialis (Mediterranean mussel)
Lineage: Eukaryota; Metazoa; Mollusca; Bivalvia; Mytilida; Mytilidae
Source: RNAcentral
UAGUGAUUUACCAAAGACCCCCCAAAAUGACUUAUAAUACAACAGUCUGCAAUAAUUGGUAGUGAAAUUUGUUUAUAUCAGUGCAGAAUAAAUGCACAAGUAAACAAAUUUGACAGUUGAUGAAUUAGUAAUGAUAAAACCUCAGUAACACAGAAAUGAAAUUAAGGCUCUCACAUAACUAGUAGUAGCAUAUGUUACAAACAACAUGACAUUAUUUUAAAUUACAGUGAUGACUUGUAAUCAAUGAAAGAUUCAUAUACCGGUAUAUGAUAAUGAAUUGUUCAUAAUUUGUUGCUGAAACACAUUAACAACAGAGUUUUGUGUUUCAAAAACACAUUGUCAACCACACGAAAUUUUAAUAAAAAGAAUACACAACA